UUAAUUAUUACUUUUGAUAACUCAGACAACAUCAUUACUAAGAUUUUUGGUUGGGCUUCGGUGGGCACUUUUAGCCCACCGAAGCAACAAUGAAAUAUUUGGUGGUAUACAAGGGGUUGGAGGUUGGGCCAUGGAAGACCCUAACUCAGUAAUGAUCCUUCCGCAGGUUCACCUACGGAAA
This 181-nucleotide unclassified non-coding RNA is filed under the name uncultured fungus. Its description in RNAcentral is "sequence contains ITS1". The record is from RNAcentral. Lineage: Eukaryota; Fungi.